RNAcentral lists this ribosomal RNA (508 nucleotides) under uncultured bacterium. RNAcentral describes it as "partial 16S ribosomal RNA". It matches the Rfam family "Bacterial small subunit ribosomal RNA", at positions 30 to 523 of the family's 1533-position model. The record is from RNAcentral.
AUUGAACGCUGGCGGCAGGCCUAACACAUGCAAGUCGAGCGGCAGCGGGAAAGUAGCUUGCUACUUUUGCCGGCGAGCGGCGGACGGGUGGGUAAUGCCUGGGAAAUUGCCCAGUCGAGGGGGAUAACAGUUGGAAACGACUGCUAAUACCGCAUACGCCCUACGGGGGAAAGCAGGGGACCUUCGGGCCUUGCGCGAUUGGAUAUGCCCAGGUGGGAUUAGCUAGUUGGUGAGGUAAUGGCUCACCAAGGUGACGAUCCCUAGCUGGUCUGAGAGGAUGAUCAGCCACACUGGAACUGAGACACGGUCCAGACUCCUACGGGAGGCAGCAGUGGGGAAUAUUGCACAAUGGGGGAAACCCUGAUGCAGCCAUGCCGCGUGUGUGAAGAAGGCCUUCGGGUUGUAAAGCACUUUCAGCGAGGAGGAAAGGUUGAUGCCUAAUACGUAUCAACUGUGACGUUACUCGCAGAAGAAGCACCGGCUAACUCCGUGCCAGCAGCCGCCGUAA